UGACGCAGCGACGCCGCGUGGGCGACGAAGGCCUUCGGGUCGUAAAGCCCUUUUAGCAGGGACGAGUGAGGACGGUACCUGCUGAAUAAGUCUCGGCUAACUACGUGCCAGCAGCCGCGGUAAAACGUAGGAGGCGAGCGUUAUCCGGAUUCACUGGGCGUAAAGCGCGCGUAGGCGGUUGGUUAAGUCGGACGUGAAAGCCCCUGGCUCAACUGGGGGAGGCCGUUCGAUACUGGCCGGCUUGAGGGUGAGAGAGGGAAGUGGAAUUCCCGGUGUAGCGGUGGAAUGCGUAGAGAUCGGGAGGAACACCAGUGGCGAAGGCGGCUUCCUGGCUCACUUCUGACGCUGAGAGCGCGAAAGCGUGGGGAGCAAACGGGAUUAGAUACCCCGGUAGUCCACGCUCUAAACGAUGAGGGCUAGGUGUUGGUGGGAUUACCCAUCUGUGCCGAAGCAAACGCGUUAAGCCCUCCGCCUGGGGACUACGAACGCAAGUUUA
This 496-nucleotide ribosomal RNA is filed under the name uncultured bacterium. RNAcentral describes it as "bacterial SSU rRNA". It matches the Rfam family "Bacterial small subunit ribosomal RNA", at positions 384 to 896 of the family's 1533-position model. The record is from RNAcentral.